UUUAUGUGCCGCAAUCACCAGCUAACAUGCUACCUGCAUCUCGCUAGCUCUAACAAUUUCCUACUUCAAGAAAACUUUGUCUUUCUGAUAUUUAAACUUCUGUAUCUCUCUUUCCUCUCAUGGCUCCCAAGAAUACUGUCACUGAUGCAUCCACUAAAAAAGUUAUGAGCAAAGGAGCAUGGACGGCUGAGGAAGAUAACAAACUAGCUC
RNAcentral lists this long non-coding RNA (210 nucleotides) under Populus tremula. Its description in RNAcentral is "long non-coding RNA (PTRE_LNC002007)". Lineage: Eukaryota; Viridiplantae; Streptophyta; Magnoliopsida; Malpighiales; Salicaceae. The record is from RNAcentral.